GUGUCAGCCGCCGCGGUAAUACGUAGGGAGCGAGCGUUGUCCGGAUUUACUGGGUGUAAAGGGUGCGUAGGCGGCUUUUUAAGUCAGGUGUGAAAACCGUGGGCUUAACUCACGGAUUGCAUUUGAAACUGAGGGGCUUGAGUGGAGCAGGGGCAGGCGGAAUUCCCGGUGUAGCGGUGAAAUGCGUAGAGAUCGGGAGGAACACCAGUGGCGAAGGCGGCCUGCUGGGCUUUAACUGACGCUGAGGCACGAAAGCAUGGGUAGCAAACAGGAUUAGAUACCCUGGUAGUCCAUGCCGUAAACGAUGAUUACUAGGUGUGGGUGGUCUGACCCCAUCCGUGCCGGAGUUAACACAAUAAGUAAUCCACCUGGGGAGUACGACCGCAAGGUUGAAACUCAAAGGAAUUGACGG
RNAcentral lists this ribosomal RNA (412 nucleotides) under uncultured bacterium. Its description in RNAcentral is "bacterial SSU rRNA". It matches the Rfam family "Bacterial small subunit ribosomal RNA", at positions 505 to 916 of the family's 1533-position model. The record is from RNAcentral.